RNAcentral lists this ribosomal RNA (464 nucleotides) under uncultured bacterium. RNAcentral's name for it is "partial 16S ribosomal RNA". It matches the Rfam family "Bacterial small subunit ribosomal RNA", at positions 339 to 795 of the family's 1533-position model. The record is from RNAcentral.
CUACAGGUUGCAGCAGUAGGGAAUUUUGCGCAAUGGACGAAAGUCUGACGCAGCGACGCCGCGUGGAGGAUGAAGGUUUUCGGAUCGUAAACUCCUGUUAAGUGGGAAGAAAUGGCAAGAGUUAAUACCUCUUGCAGCUGACGGUACUACUAGAGAAAGCACCGGCAAAUUUCGUGCCAGCAGCCGCGGUAAUACGAGGGGUGCAAGCGUUAUUCGGAGUUACUGGGCGUAAAGGGCGUGUAGGCGGCUUAUUAAGUCUGCUGUUAAAGACCUUGGCUUAACCGAGGACCGGCUGCAGAUACUGAUAGGCUAGAGGGCAAGAGAGAGAAGUGGAAUUCUCGGAGUAGCGGUAAAAUGCGUAGAUCUCGAGAGGAACACCGGUUGCGAAGGCGGCUUCUUGGCUUGUCCCUGACGCUAAGGCGCGAAAGCGUGGGUAGCGAACAGGAUUAGAUACCCCAGUAGUC